AGGGGAAUAUUGGACUAUGGGCGCAAGCCUGCUCCAGCCAUGCCGCGUGAGUGAUGAAGGCCCUAGGGUUGUAAAGCUCUUUCACCGGUGAAGAUAAUGACGGUAACCGGAGAAGAAGCCCCGGCUAACUUCGUGCCAGCAGCCGCGGUAAUACGAAGGGGGCUAGCGUUGUUCGGAUUUACUGGGCGUAAAGUGCACGUAGGCGGACUUUUAAGUCAGGGGUGAAAUCCCGGGGCUCAACCCCGGAACUGCCUUUGAUACUGGAAGACGUGAGUAUGGUAGAGGUGGGUGGAAUUCCGAGUGUAGAGGUGAAAUUCGUAGAUAUUCAGAGGAACACCAGUGGCGAAGGCGGCUCACUGGACCAUUACUGAAGCUGAGGUGCGAAAGCGUGGGGAGUAAACAGG
RNAcentral lists this ribosomal RNA (404 nucleotides) under Actinomycetes bacterium. RNAcentral describes it as "Actinobacteria bacterium partial 16S ribosomal RNA". It matches the Rfam family "Bacterial small subunit ribosomal RNA", at positions 355 to 776 of the family's 1533-position model. Lineage: Bacteria; Bacillati; Actinomycetota; Actinomycetes. The record is from RNAcentral.